This 76-nucleotide transfer RNA is filed under the name Candidatus Alistipes equi. RNAcentral describes it as "tRNA-Gly". It matches the Rfam family "tRNA". Rfam says of the family: Transfer RNA (tRNA) molecules are approximately 80 nucleotides in length. Their secondary structure includes four short double-helical elements and three loops (D, anti-codon, and T loops). Further hydrogen bonds mediate the characteristic L-shaped molecular structure. tRNAs have two regions of fundamental functional importance: the anti-codon, which is responsible for specific mRNA codon recognition, and the 3' end, to which the tRNAs corresponding amino acid is attached (by aminoacyl-tRNA synthetases). tRNAs cope with the degeneracy of the genetic code in two manners: having more than one tRNA (with a specific anti-codon) for a particular amino acid; and 'wobble' base-pairing, i.e. permitting non-standard base-pairing at the 3rd anti-codon position. The record is from RNAcentral. Lineage: Bacteria; Pseudomonadati; Bacteroidota; Bacteroidia; Bacteroidales; Rikenellaceae.
GCGGAAGUAGCUCAGUUGGUAGAGCAUUAGCCCUCCAAGCUAAGGGUCGCGAGUUCGAGCCUCGUUUUCCGCUCCA